Molecule: ribosomal RNA, 253 nt
Filed under: uncultured microorganism
Description: partial 16S ribosomal RNA
Rfam family: Archaeal small subunit ribosomal RNA
Source: RNAcentral
GUGCAGAAGUCGAGAAACCUUCGCAAUGCAGGAAACUGCGACGAGGGAACUCCAAGUGCCUACGCUCAGCGUAGGCUGUUCUCAAGCCUAGAAAGCUUGAGGAGUAAGGGCUGGGGUAAGACGGGUGCCAUCUGUGGUAGCAGUCAAUAGAUUCGAUUUGUUACUGCAAGGCAUAAGCCGCGCGGUAAUACCCGCAGCCCAAGUGGUGGCCGCUUUUAUUGGGCCUAAAGCGUCCGUAGCCGGCCCGGUAAAU